Molecule: ribosomal RNA, 479 nt
Filed under: uncultured bacterium
Lineage: Bacteria
Description: partial 16S ribosomal RNA
Rfam family: Bacterial small subunit ribosomal RNA
Source: RNAcentral
ACGCACGCUGGCGGCGCGCUUAACACAUGCCAGUCGAGCGAUGAAACUUUAACAGAACCCUUCGGGGCGAAGAUAAAGUGGAUUAGCGGCGGACGGGGGAGUAACACGUGAGUAACCUGCCUUAGACAUUGGGAUAGCCUCUGGAAACCGGGAUUAAUACCAAAUAAAAUCAUAAUGACACAUGUCAUAACGAUCAAAACUCCGGUGGUCUAAGAUGGACUCGCGUCCCAUUAGCUAGUUGGUAGAGUAAACGCCUACCAAGGCGACGAUGGGUAGCCGGCCUGAGAGGGUGAACGGCCACAUUGAAACUGAGAAACGGUACAAACUCCUACGGGAGGCAGCAGUGGGGAAUAGUGCACAAUGGAGGGAACUCUGAUGCAGCGACGCCGCGUGAACGAAGAAGGCUUUCGAGUCGUAAAGUUCUUUUAUAUGGGAAGAUAAUGACGGUACCAUAAGAAAAAGCCCCGGCUAACUACGUG